Oryza rufipogon (brownbeard rice) is the source of this 200-nucleotide microRNA precursor. It matches the Rfam family "MIR812 microRNA precursor family". NCBI's taxonomy places the organism in Eukaryota, Viridiplantae, Streptophyta, Magnoliopsida, Poales, Poaceae. The record is from Rfam.
AAUAAGUGCAGUUUUAUACUAUUCAUCUUCAACGUUCGACCGUUCGUCCGUCCCAAAAUAAUUACUAUUUUUAUUACUAUUAGAUGAUAAAACAUGAAUUAUACUUUAUGUAUGACUAAUUUUUUAAAAAUAUUUUAUAAAUUUUUUAAAUAAAACGAACGGUCAAACGUUGGACACGGAUUUCCACGGCUGCACUUAUU